AUGACACAAAGUAGCACAUCAUUUAAUAUGAUACGGUAUCAUGAUAUGGAUACUCAAGCAUCUCUUUCUUUAUUUAAUUCUAUGUCACCUCAUCAAACUUGCUUAGUUGGCAUGCAUGAUACUAUCUCUUUAUUUAAUUCUAUGCCACCUCAUCAAACUUGCUUAGUUGGCAUGCAUGAUGCUAUCUAUGAUACUCCCAUUACGGGCAGCCUUACCACCACACGAGUUACUCCGGAAGUUCAAACUCCAGGCCUCGUCCCAUCCAUGCCUCCUCUAGCCUUCCUCCUCCUUCUACUUGGCCAAAUCCUUCUCUGCUACGGCCAUCCAUGCAGCAUUUUUUUUUGCAUGGGUGGUCAGGUCGGCCGGUGUUUUUUUGACAGAAAAACUGCAAGGGAGGCCCCUAUAUUAUUUUGA
RNAcentral lists this ribosomal RNA (414 nucleotides) under Triticum aestivum (bread wheat). RNAcentral's name for it is "partial small subunit ribosomal RNA". The record is from RNAcentral. Lineage: Eukaryota; Viridiplantae; Streptophyta; Magnoliopsida; Poales; Poaceae.